Molecule: ribosomal RNA, 506 nt
Filed under: uncultured bacterium
Lineage: Bacteria
Description: partial 16S ribosomal RNA
Rfam family: Bacterial small subunit ribosomal RNA
Source: RNAcentral
GAUGAACGCUAGCUACAGGCUUAACACAUGCAAGUCGAGGGGUAACGAGAGGAAAGCUUGCUUUCCUUGUCGACGACCGGCGCACGGGUGAGUAACGCGUAUCCAACCUGCCCCCAACUAGGGAAUAACCUUGCGAAAGUAAGACUAAUACCCUAUACAUUCUUCAGAUGUCAUCUGACGAGGAAUAAAGAUUUAUCGGUUGGGGAUGGGGAUGCGUCUGAUUAGCUUGUUGGCGGGGUAACGGCCCACCAAGGCAACGAUAGGUAGGGGUUCGGAGAGGAAGGUCCCCCACAUUGGAACUGAGACACGGUCCAAACUCGUACGGGAGGCAGCAGUGAGGAAUAUUGGUCAAUGGGCGGAAGCCUGAACCAGCCAAGUAGCGUGCAGGAUGACGGCCCUAUGGGUUGUAAACUGCUUUUAUACAGGAAUAAAGUUAGCCACGUGUGGUUAUUUGUAGGUACUGUAUGAAUAAGGACCGGCUAAUUCCGUGCCAGCCGCCGCAGUAA